CGCGGGGUGGAGCAGUCUGGUAGCUCGUCGGGCUCAUAACCCGGAGGUCGUAGGUUCAAAUCCUACCCCCGCAA
This 74-nucleotide transfer RNA is filed under the name Tenuibacillus multivorans. It matches the Rfam family "tRNA". Rfam says of the family: Transfer RNA (tRNA) molecules are approximately 80 nucleotides in length. RNAcentral also lists the same sequence under 1 other name. The record is from Rfam by way of RNAcentral. Lineage: Bacteria; Bacillati; Bacillota; Bacilli; Caryophanales; Bacillaceae.